AGUGUUUGGCGUAAGGUUGCAUGGAGCUGCCAUUGGUACAGAUCUUGGUGGUAGUAGCAAAUAAUCGAAUGAGACCUUGGAGGACUGAAGUGGAGAAGGGUUUCGUGUGAACAGUGGUUGAUCACGAGUUAGUCGGUCCUAAGUUUAAGGCGAAAGCCGCUAAUAAAUUUAUAGUUCUUCACACUACUUAUGAAGUGGUAAGUUUAAAUGACUAUAAAUUUAAUUAAACGAAAGGGAAUACGGUUCCAAUUCCGUAACCUGUUGAGUAUACGUUUGUAAUAAAUAUGGUCAUUAUGAUCAUCCUGGUAACAGAAACAAUCAUAGAGAAGCCGUCGAGAGAUAUCGGAAGAGUUUUCUUUUCUGUUUUAUAAUUGUACUACCAUGGAAGUCUUUCGAAGAGAGAUAUGGUAGAUGAAUUAGAAGAGCAUGGCAUUUACUGCUGUGUCGAUAUUUUCUCCUCGGACCUUGAAAAUCUAUGAUUGGGCCACGCAAACUUCUCAACAGGCCGUACCGAUAUCCGCAGCUGGUCUCCAAGGUGAAGAGUCUCUAGUCGAUAGAAUAAUGUAGGUAAGGGAAGUCGGCAAAUUAGAUCCGUA
RNAcentral lists this ribosomal RNA (596 nucleotides) under Neurigona pectinata. RNAcentral describes it as "eukaryotic LSU rRNA". It matches the Rfam family "Eukaryotic large subunit ribosomal RNA", at positions 1407 to 1932 of the family's 3401-position model. The record is from RNAcentral. Lineage: Eukaryota; Metazoa; Arthropoda; Insecta; Diptera; Dolichopodidae.